AUACGGAGGGUCCAAGCGUUAUCCGGAAUCAUUGGGUUUAAAGGGUCCGCAGGCGGUCAAUUAAGUCAGAGGUGAAAGCCCAUCGCUCAACGAUGGAACUGCCUUUGAUACUGGUUGACUUGAGUUAUACGGAAGUAGAUAGAAUAAGUAGUGUAGUGGUGAAAUGCAUAGAUAUUACUUAGAAUACCGAUUGCGAAGGCAGUCUACUACGUAUAUACUGACGCUGAGGGACGAAAGCGUGGGGAGCGAACAGGAUUAGAAACCCCAGUAGUCC
Molecule: ribosomal RNA, 274 nt
Filed under: uncultured bacterium
Lineage: Bacteria
Description: partial 16S ribosomal RNA
Rfam family: Bacterial small subunit ribosomal RNA
Source: RNAcentral